RNAcentral lists this ribosomal RNA (305 nucleotides) under uncultured bacterium. RNAcentral describes it as "bacterial SSU rRNA". It matches the Rfam family "Bacterial small subunit ribosomal RNA", at positions 333 to 654 of the family's 1533-position model. The record is from RNAcentral.
UCGGCCCUACGGGACGCAGCAGUGGGGAAUAUUGCACAAUGGGGGAAACCCUGAUGCAGCAACGCCGCGUGAGUGAAGAAGUAUUUCGGUAUGUAAAGCUCUAUCAGCAGGGAAGAAGAAAGACGGUACCUGACUAAGAAGCCCCGGCUAACUACGUGCCAGCAGCCGCGGUAAUACGUAGGGGGCAAGCGUUAUCCGGAUUUACUGGGUGUAAAGGGAGCGUAGACGGCCAGACAAGUCUGAAGUGAAAAUCCAGCGCUUAACGUUGGAAGUGCUUUGGAAACUGCCGGGCUAGAGUGCAGGAG